Molecule: unclassified non-coding RNA, 403 nt
Filed under: soil metagenome
Description: partial contains 5.8S ribosomal RNA, internal transcribed spacer 2, and large subunit ribosomal RNA
Rfam family: 5.8S ribosomal RNA (bases 1-121)
Source: RNAcentral
GAUGAAGAACGCAGCGAAAUGCGAUAAGUAAUGUGAAUUGCAGAAUUCAGUGAAUCAUCGAAUCUUUGAAUGCACCUUGCGCCCUUUGGCUAUUCCGAAGGGCAUGCCUGUUUGAGUAUCAUGAACACCUCAACUCUCAUGGCUUGCCAUGAUGAGCUUGGACUUUUGGGGGUCUUGCUGGCCUGUGGUCAGCUCCUCUCAAAUGAAUUAGCCUGCCAGUGUUUGGUGGCAUCACAGGUGUGAUAACUAUCUACGCUUGUGGUUUUCCACCAGGUAACCUUCAGUGAUGAAGGUUCGCUGGGGCUCAUAAACGUCUCUCCUCAGUGAGGACAGCUCUUUGAACGUUUGAUCUCAAAUCAGGUAGGACUACCCGCUGAACUUAAGCAUAUCAAUAAGCGGAGGA